GACAGAGGGUGCAAACGUUGUUCGGAAUUACUGGGCGUAAAGCGCGUGUAGGCGGCUCGGCAAGUCGGGUGUGAAAGCCCUGGGCUUAACCCAGGAAGUGCACUCGAAACUUCCGAGCUGGAGUCCUGGAGAGGAAGGCGGAAUUCUCGGUGUAGAGGUGAAAUUCGUAGAUAUCGAGAGGAACACCGGUGGCGAAGGCGGCCUUCUGGACAGUGACUGACGCUGAGACGCGAAAGCGUGGGGAGCAAACAGG
RNAcentral lists this ribosomal RNA (253 nucleotides) under uncultured bacterium. RNAcentral's name for it is "partial 16S ribosomal RNA". It matches the Rfam family "Bacterial small subunit ribosomal RNA", at positions 524 to 776 of the family's 1533-position model. The record is from RNAcentral.